RNAcentral lists this ribosomal RNA (354 nucleotides) under Triticum aestivum (bread wheat). Its description in RNAcentral is "partial small subunit ribosomal RNA". The record is from RNAcentral. Lineage: Eukaryota; Viridiplantae; Streptophyta; Magnoliopsida; Poales; Poaceae.
AUGACAAUCAAAUGCACAUGUUUAUCCUUGUCAAAGUUUCUAAUCCUGCUAUGCAACCUUGAAAACAACCUGUUCUGCAUCGUUGAGUACUAUCAUACAUCCACGGAUUACAUCAGAAAUUGUCUACACAGAAUCUCUACGGUGGCCAAAUUGCCGCAUUCAGUUUUUCUUAGUGAAAUUAGAGCUUCUAUUAUUAUCACUGCAUGUUCAAGUCAUGUUGAAAUGCUGCAUAUAAGGGAGCAGUACACCAGUGUUGAAAAAACGGAGCAGUACACCAGAGACAUGAUGAAGCCUAGUACAAGAUGCAGAUUGGCCGUGUGGUCUGCAGCCAUGUUCACAACUCUUUUUACAUAA